GGGGCUUCCGAUUUCUUCAACUCCGGUGAGAACAUCACCUGUUAUAGAAGAAAUAGCAGAAAUUGGACAAGCUGUUCCAUCCAGCAGUAGUAAAGGGCAAGCAAUUUCCCCAGUCUCUGGUGAGGUAUCAGGGUCUAAGGUUAAAGAUGCUGAAAUGAGACACGGAAAGUUUCAGAGGUCCCAUCAAUUUGAAAAAGACAGGUUUGAUGAGUGGGAAGACGCAUUCAAGCUUGAAAGCGAUCAGCGGAAAAUUGAUGAAAUGUUUAUGAGGGAAGCACUAAUGGAAGCCAAAAAGGCUGCUGACAAUUGGGAAGUACCUGUUGGGGCUGUGCUGGUUCAUGAUGGAAGAAUAGUUGCUCGUGGAUACAACCUUGUAGAAGAACUGCGUGACUCUACUGCCCAUGCAGAAAUGCUGUGCAUACGUGAGGCUUCAAGCACACUUCGGACAUGGAGACUUUCGGAUACCACACUUUAUGUAACACUUGAGCCAUGUCCUAUGUGUGCUGGAGCAAUACUU
This 517-nucleotide unclassified non-coding RNA is filed under the name Hevea brasiliensis (rubber tree). The record is from RNAcentral. Lineage: Eukaryota; Viridiplantae; Streptophyta; Magnoliopsida; Malpighiales; Euphorbiaceae.